This 572-nucleotide ribosomal RNA is filed under the name Pseudomonas lini. RNAcentral describes it as "bacterial SSU rRNA". It matches the Rfam family "Bacterial small subunit ribosomal RNA", at positions 106 to 674 of the family's 1533-position model. Lineage: Bacteria; Pseudomonadati; Pseudomonadota; Gammaproteobacteria; Pseudomonadales; Pseudomonadaceae. The record is from RNAcentral.
GUGAGUAAUGCCUAGGAAUCUGCCUGGUAGUGGGGGAUAACGCUCGGAAACGGACGCUAAUACCGCAUACGUCCUACGGGAGAAAGCAGGGGACCUUCGGGCCUUGCGCUAUCAGAUGAGCCUAGGUCGGAUUAGCUAGUUGGUGAGGUAAUGGCUCACCAAGGCGACGAUCCGUAACUGGUCUGAGAGGAUGAUCAGUCACACUGGAACUGAGACACGGUCCAGACUCCUACGGGAGGCAGCAGUGGGGAAUAUUGGACAAUGGGCGAAAGCCUGAUCCAGCCAUGCCGCGUGUGUGAAGAAGGUCUUCGGAUUGUAAAGCACUUUAAGUUGGGAGGAAGGGCAGUUACCUAAUACGUAUCUGUUUUGACGUUACCGACAGAAUAAGCACCGGCUAACUCUGUGCCAGCAGCCGCGGUAAUACAGAGGGUGCAAGCGUUAAUCGGAAUUACUGGGCGUAAAGCGCGCGUAGGUGGUUCGUUAAGUUGGAUGUGAAAUCCCCGGGCUCAACCUGGGAACUGCAUUCAAAACUGACGAGCUAGAGUAUGGUAGAGGGUGGUGGAAUUUCCUGU